GGCGUGCUCUCAUGGCGCUGCGCGGCGGGGGCGGUGCGCCGAAGCAGAACACCCGCGCGCGGCUCUGAUUUUCGCGGGCCGAACCGAGAGUGGUUACCACUGUGCCACUGCGGGUGCGCACGUCGGCAGUGUCCUAGACUGGUCUAAUAGAGUAGAGACAAACAAGGCCGUGGAAACGAACGAGAUAAAAACGAAGUCUCGGGUGCCCAGCCUCCCCCUUCUCCUCCAUCUCCAUGGAGGAGGAGGAGGGCUUCCUCCACGUGCUGCGAGCGCUGCGGGACGCCGCGCGGAGGGUGGAGGCCGGGGAAACACGCGGGCCGGCGCUGCAGGCGCUUCUCGCGCUCGAGGCUGGCGCCGACGACCUCCUCGCCGGCGACCCCGACCUCACCGCCCUACGCCGGCUCCUGUGCCGCCUCAGAGCCCUCUCGUGCUCCCUCGACCUGUGCGCCUCCGGCUCCCUGCGCGCGCGGUGCGGCGCGCGGAGGGCGGUCGCGCGCGUGGCCGGCGCCGUCGCCGGCGAGAUCCAGGCGUGGGUCGACCGCGAGGCCAUCGCGCGGCUCGUGGCCGCGCUGAGCAGCCACGGCCUCGGCGGGGCGCGCGCGCUCCUCGCGGAGCUCGAGGCACGGCUGCUGUCCGCGGGCGGGCGGUUCGACCCGCGGCUGCAGCGCGCGCUGCUUCGCCACGGCGUGUUACAGGCGCUGGAGGCUCGGCUCGGGGACCCCGCCGUGGGCGACGGCUGCGCGGCCGCGGUGCUGGCGCUGGUGCGCUUCAACAAGGACGUGUUCGUGGGGCCCGUCCUGAUGGGCCCCGCCGUCGGCGCGCUGGUGGCGUCCGCGUCCGGGUCCCCGGCGCCGCUGCGCGCGCUCAACGGCCUUGUGGACGCCAUCCGGAGCCCGCUGGUGGACGAGCUCCACGCGCGCGGGGAGCUCCCGCGGCUCGUCGCGCUGCUGUGCGCGCCCGACCCGCGCGCCCACGGCCCCGCGCUCGGCUUCGCUCUCCGCGUCGGCUACUACGGCCGCAAGGAGGUGGUGGACGCGCUCCUCGCCGAGGGCCUCGUGAAGCGCCUCCUCUGCCUGCAGCGCUCCGACCUCGGCGGCUCGCUCGCGGACACGGACGAGGGCGAGGACGAGGAGGGCUGCCCAAAGGCGAAGCCCGAGGACGCCAAAACCGGUGGCUUUCUCCUCGUGCCCUGCCUUCCUCUGGUGUAUCUGUGGGGGCGUCGCCAGGGCGACAGCGCCGCGGACGCGGACGCGGACACGGAAGAGCGGCCGUUCGUGAGCGCUGUGGCGCGGUUCGCGGUGCAGGUGGAGGUGGGCGUCGGGUUGAGCCCGCGGGAGAAGCGUGAGGCGAAGCUGGAGAUCCUGCGGCGGGUGCGGGAGGCGGCCGUGUCGCCGGCGGAGGAGGCCACCGUGCUCGCCGAGGUGCUCUGGGGCGCCACGCCGUAGCCGCUGGCUUGAGUGCUUCAACGAUGACCGCUGACCCGCGGGCCCACGUGCCGCGUACGCUAGCUGUUUGCUGCAGACUCGUGGUUGGUGUGCGUACUACUCGUUUUUUUCCUUUUGUUUGUAGCAUAUAUAAGUAGUUUUUUCUUCUUGUUUGUGCAUAUGGUUUUUUUUUUCUUAUUUAGUUUAAUGUUUCUGUGGAUAUUGUUAGAUACAGAUCUUCCGUUGCAGUUAGGACUUGUGGUAGGAGAGUCGACUCCAAUCCGUGUACGUACGUACGUAUGUAUACGGAUGGAUGAUGUACAAGAGAAUCAAGAUGUAACAAGCCUGUGAAAA
This 1778-nucleotide unclassified non-coding RNA is filed under the name Zea mays. RNAcentral describes it as "misc RNA Zm00001eb258140". Lineage: Eukaryota; Viridiplantae; Streptophyta; Magnoliopsida; Poales; Poaceae. The record is from RNAcentral.